Long non-coding RNA from Megalobrama amblycephala (Wuchang bream), 1071 nucleotides. RefSeq lists it as uncharacterized. The record is from RefSeq and is a predicted model, not a curated record. Lineage: Eukaryota; Metazoa; Chordata; Actinopteri; Cypriniformes; Xenocyprididae. The transcript has 3 exons.
UCCUCAUAAUUAUGACUUUUUACCUCAUUAUGACUUAGUAUAUCAUAGUAACUUUUAUUUCAUUAUGACUUCGUCAAUUAUAAUUGAGAUAAAAAUCGAAAUGUUAAUUUUAUUUUUCUCAUAAUUGAUGUCAUGAUUUUAACUUUUCCUCAUAACUAUUACUUUUUAUCUCAUUAUUAUGACUUAGUAAUAGUAUGACAUAAAUUUGACAUUUUAUGUCAAAAUUUGUACUUUUUCCCUGAGAAUAUCGACUUUUUAAUCUUAUACGGAGCCCCAAAGGGGACAUGGUGGUGGAAAAAAAUAUGAGAUGGGAGGAAAAAUAAUAUGUUGGUGCUUUGGCGUUCUCUCGCAAAAACUUUUGUGUUCUUUGCGAGAGAACAAAAAAGUUUAUCAGGGGAAUGCAAACAUUUUGUGAAUGAACUCAAAAGCAUGGACAAAUAAUUUUUCCUCCCAUCUCAUCUCUUUUUUUCUUCACUAUGUCCCUUUAAGGCCUCUGUAUAAUUAUGAUGUAUGCAUAAUUUUUUUCUUAUGUGACAAAAAUAGAAUGGAAAUGGAAAAAAACAUUCAUGCUUUCAGAUGGUGUAGUUACCAGUAUCCACCAGCAGAGGCGAACUAGAUCACGCUAAACCCUGACUUUUUGAAAAAAUACUUCCAGUACCUGCUUAAAAGACCCAAGAGCUGAAAUCGUUUGCAGGAUUGAUUCAUAUCAAGCCACUGGAAGACCAGCCAGAAGAACUCCCUCACCUUUGCUCUCCAAAUGUUCGUCAGCUCACCAGCCAAAAACUGAGUCAAACGAUUUCCCUCCACAUCCUCACUAUUUGUCUUCAUCUACCAGCUUCAUUUACCCCUGGAGGUCUUUGUAAGGUGUCCAAAUGACUUUUACAGAGUAUGUCCUGCCUGUUGCAUUUUCAGAUUCAGAUUCAAAUAGAGCGUCUUUCAGCAAAGAACUCAUACCGGUUUGGAACGACAUGUGGCUUCUUCCAUCAGCGAGCAGCUUGUAUCCGGUGGGACAGGAGCAGUGGUACGAUCCCGGGACGUUUACACAGGCAUGGCCACACAGAGGCCCUCCAC